UUUUUAUUCUUUCUUUCUUUUUUUUUCCCCCUUGUACGAGGGAUUGAACCCAGGGAUGCUUAACCACUGAGCCACGUCCCCAGCCCUUUAAAAAAAUAUUUUAUUUAAAGAUAGGGUCUCACUGAGUUGUUAAAGGACUUGUUGUUACUGAGGCUGGCUUUGAACUCGCAAUCCUCCUGCCUCAGCCUCUUGAGAUGCUGGGAUUACAGGCGUGCACGAUGGCACUGGGUUCAGACUUUUUAUUCUUAUUUUUGCUGGAUAUAGACUCUCUGUUGCUACAUUUUUCUGCUGUUCUGCAGACCAUUCCACUGCCUUCUAGGCUCUGUUAUUUCUGAUGAGAAGUUGGCGACUAGUUUGAUUGGCAUUCUAUGUGACAAAUCAUUUUUCUCUUGCUGCUUUCAAAAUCCAGUCAUUGUCUCUGGUUUUUAGCAUUUUUACAGUGAAGUAUCUGGAUGCUCAUAUCUCUCUCUCUCUCUCUCUUUUCUUUAUUUAUAUAUGACAGCAGAAUGCAUACAAUUCUUAUUACACAUAUACAGCACAAUUUUCAUAUCUCUGGUUGUAUACAAAGUAUAUUCACACCAAUUCGUGUCUUCAUACAUGUACUUUGGAUAAUAAUUUCCAUCGCAUUCCACCAUCCUUGCUAACCCCUGCCCCCUCCCUUCCCCUCCCACCCCUCUGCCCUAUAUAGAGUUCGUCUAUUCUUCCCAUGCUCCCCCUCCCUACCCCACUAUGAAUCAGACUCCUUAUAUCAGAGAAAACAUUUGGCAUUUGUUUUUUCGGAUUGGCUAACUUCACUUAGCGUUAUCUUCUCUAACUCCAUCCAUUUACCUGCAAAUGCCAUGAUUUUAUUCUUUUUUAUCGCUGAUUAAUAUUCCAUUGUGUAUAGAUGCCACUUUUUUUUUGGUAUCCAUUUAUCUAUUGAAGGGCAUCUAGGUUGGCUCCACAGUUUAGCUAUUGUGAAUUGUGCUGCUGUAAAUGUUGAUGUGGCUUGGAUGUGCAUCUCUUGACGUGCCUUAAGUUUCUUUUUUCGGCUGUACAAAGCUAUAUUUUGUUAAGUUUCUUGAGUGCAUAGCUUUCUUUCCCCCUAUCAAAUCUGAAAACUUACUGACCGUUAUUUCUUUGACUAUUUUCCCUGCUUGUUUCUUUCUGACCCCUCCUUCUAGUAAUCCCAUUAUGCAGAUGUGCGUGGGCUGACUGGUGUCCAUGUUUCUCCAAGGUCCUGCUCAUUUCCUCCAUUUUUAUUAUGUCUCUGCUCUUUGUAUUACAUAAUAUUUACUGACUUAUCUUCAAGUUCACUGAAUUCUUUCUUCUGUCAGUUCAAAUCUAUUGCUGAGUCCCUCUAGUGAAUUUUUCAUAUUAUUAUGUAUUUUUAGCUCC
Molecule: long non-coding RNA, 1377 nt
Filed under: Marmota monax (woodchuck)
Lineage: Eukaryota; Metazoa; Chordata; Mammalia; Rodentia; Sciuridae
Source: RNAcentral